RNAcentral lists this ribosomal RNA (253 nucleotides) under uncultured bacterium. RNAcentral describes it as "partial 16S ribosomal RNA". It matches the Rfam family "Bacterial small subunit ribosomal RNA", at positions 524 to 776 of the family's 1533-position model. The record is from RNAcentral.
UACGUAGGGUGCAAGCGUUAAUCCGAAUUACUGGGCGUAAAGCGUGCGCAGGCGGUUUUGUAAGUCUGUCGUGAAAUCCCCGGGCUCAACCUGGGAAUGGCGAUGGAGACUGCAAGGCUGGAAUCUGGCAGAGGGGGGUAGAAUUCCACGUGUAGCAGUGAAAUGCGUAGAGAUGUGGAGGAACACCGAUGGCGAAGGCAGCCCCCUGGGCUAAGAUUGACGCUCAUGCACGAAAGCGUGGGGAGCAAACAGG